UGCUGGGGUCAGCGUCCCUGGACCAGGGCUACAGCUAUACACAGACACUCAGGGUGUGACAUGCAUGCUGGUAGGCUGGUGGUGAGCAGCCCAAGCAUUUGGAAAAUACAGCACAAAGCAAAGGGU
Non-coding RNA from Chelonoidis abingdonii (Abingdon island giant tortoise), 126 nucleotides. The record is from RefSeq and is a predicted model, not a curated record. NCBI's taxonomy places the organism in Eukaryota, Metazoa, Chordata, Testudines, Testudinidae.